Molecule: non-coding RNA, 72 nt
Organism: Halocaridina rubra (Hawaiian volcano shrimp)
Lineage: Eukaryota; Metazoa; Arthropoda; Malacostraca; Decapoda; Atyidae
Source: the annotation of a GenBank genome assembly
ACCAUCUCUGGUGUAGUGGUAGCGCCUUGGCUUAAUAAUCAUAAGUCCUAGGUUCGAGUCCUGGACGGGGUA